RNAcentral lists this ribosomal RNA (449 nucleotides) under uncultured bacterium. Its description in RNAcentral is "partial 16S ribosomal RNA". It matches the Rfam family "Bacterial small subunit ribosomal RNA", at positions 29 to 523 of the family's 1533-position model. The record is from RNAcentral.
AGCGAACGCUGGCGGCAGGCCUAACACAUGCAAGUCGAACGAAGUCUUCGGACUUAGUGGCGGACGGGUGAGUAACACGUGGGAACGUGCCUUUAGGUUCGGAAUAACUCAGGGAAACUUGUGCUAAUACCGAAUGUGCCCUUCGGGGGAAAGAUUUAUCGCCUUUAGAGCGGCCCGCGUCUGAUUAGCUAGUUGGUGAGGUAAAGGCUCACCAAGGCGACGAUCAGUAGCUGGUCUGAGAGGAUGAUCAGCCACAUUGGGACUGAGACACGGCCCAAACUCCGACGGGAGGCAGCAGUGGGGAAUCUUGCGCAAUGGGCGAAAGCCUGACGCAGCCAUGCCGCGUGAAUGAUGAAGGUCUUAGGAUUGUAAAAUUCUUUCACCGGGUACGAUAAUGACGGUACCCGGAGAAGAAGCCCCGGCUAACUUCGUGCCAGCAGCCGCCGUAA